CCUACGGGGGGCAGCAGUGGGGAAUCUUAGACAAUGGGCGCAAGCCUGAUCUAGCCAUGCCGCGUGAGUGAUGAAGGCCCUAGGGUCGUAAAGCUCUUUCAACUGUGAAGAUAAUGACGGUAGCAGUAGAAGAAACCCCGGCUAACUCCGUGCCAGCAGCCGCGGUAAUACGGAGGGGGUUAGCGUUGUUCGGAAUUACUGGGCGUAAAGCGUACGUAGGCGGAUUAAUAAGUUAGAGGUGAAAUCCCAGGGCUCAACCCUGGAACUGCCUUUAAAACUGUUAGUCUUGAGAUCGAGAGAGGUGAGUGGAAUUCCAAGUGUAGAGGUGAAAUUCGUAGAUAUUUGGAGGAACACCAGUGGCGAAGGCGGCUCACUGGCUCGAUACUGACGCUGAGGUACGAAAGUGUGGGGAGCAAACAGGAUUAGAUACCCGGGUAGUC
This 440-nucleotide ribosomal RNA is filed under the name uncultured bacterium. RNAcentral describes it as "bacterial SSU rRNA". It matches the Rfam family "Bacterial small subunit ribosomal RNA", at positions 338 to 795 of the family's 1533-position model. The record is from RNAcentral.